UGAAGUUUGUAAACAUUCUAAUUUCAAUAGCUAUUUGGUCAUGUGACCUACUGACCUUAAAUAACUUUCAGAAUGUCCACAUACUGGCGGAGACGGGCGCCGCAAGGCAUCCAGUGCGUUAAUGCGACCGAUUCCGGAGAAGCUGGCGAGAGUCCCGGGGAGAGUUCUCUUUUAUUUGUGACGGGCAGGGUGCCCUGGAAUGGGUUCGACCUGAGAGAGGGGCCCAAGCCCUGAAAAGCGUUGCGGUUUUGGCCGCGUCCGGUGUGCUCUCCCUGGCCCUUGAAAAUCCGGGGGAGAGGGUGUAAAUCUCACACCGGGCCGUACCCAUAUCCACAGCAGGUCUCCAAGGUGAAAAGCCUCUG
RNAcentral lists this non-coding RNA (362 nucleotides) under Salmo salar (Atlantic salmon). RNAcentral describes it as "Eukaryotic large subunit ribosomal RNA". It matches the Rfam family "Eukaryotic large subunit ribosomal RNA", at positions 1546 to 1885 of the family's 3401-position model. Lineage: Eukaryota; Metazoa; Chordata; Actinopteri; Salmoniformes; Salmonidae. The record is from Rfam by way of RNAcentral.